Molecule: long non-coding RNA, 201 nt
Filed under: Homo sapiens (human)
Lineage: Eukaryota; Metazoa; Chordata; Mammalia; Primates; Hominidae
Description: HSALNT0107706
Source: RNAcentral
CAUGCCCUCUCUUCAUCUGUUUAAGUGGGUGCUUUGGCAUGAAGGAAGCUGUGCUUUAUCUCCCAAAUGCAUCUUGCUGUCUUUGGCACAUUUGUCGUUUGUUGGUGGUGGUGCCAGGACUCAGCCGUUUCAUGACAGGCUUUGAGAUAGUGAAUCAAUUGUUAUUGUUUUUCUUUUUGAAAUACCCAUCAGACUUUGUGA